Molecule: transfer RNA, 68 nt
Filed under: Streptomyces sp. ISL-94
Lineage: Bacteria; Bacillati; Actinomycetota; Actinomycetes; Kitasatosporales; Streptomycetaceae
Also listed under: 1 other name
Rfam family: tRNA
About the family: Transfer RNA (tRNA) molecules are approximately 80 nucleotides in length. Their secondary structure includes four short double-helical elements and three loops (D, anti-codon, and T loops). Further hydrogen bonds mediate the characteristic L-shaped molecular structure. tRNAs have two regions of fundamental functional importance: the anti-codon, which is responsible for specific mRNA codon recognition, and the 3' end, to which the tRNAs corresponding amino acid is attached (by aminoacyl-tRNA synthetases). tRNAs cope with the degeneracy of the genetic code in two manners: having more than one tRNA (with a specific anti-codon) for a particular amino acid; and 'wobble' base-pairing, i.e. permitting non-standard base-pairing at the 3rd anti-codon position.
Source: Rfam by way of RNAcentral
AGGGGUGUACGUCGUUUGGCGCUGGUCUCCAAAACCAGAUGUCGUAGGUUCGAAUCCUGCCACCCCUG